Molecule: non-coding RNA, 253 nt
Organism: Pelobates cultripes (western spadefoot toad)
Lineage: Eukaryota; Metazoa; Chordata; Amphibia; Anura; Pelobatidae
Source: the annotation of a GenBank genome assembly
UUUUCCCCUUAUUCGUUUAGCAAAAAUGCAAUUUUUUUCCUACAUGCAGUAGUUGUGACAAAAAUAGACAAAUAAAAAUAGUUAUAGACCUUGCCUAUAGGUAUUUACAAGGACAUUGAAGGGAUUAUUAGCUGUACAGCUAACUAAAAUUUGCUACGGAAUGUAACAAUGGCUGCAUUUGACCAUAAUGUCCACGUAUGUGAAUACAUUUUAAUCAAAUAUUUCUAAAAUAAAGGUAUUUAAAACUGCUAAA